RNAcentral lists this ribosomal RNA (497 nucleotides) under uncultured bacterium. RNAcentral describes it as "partial 16S ribosomal RNA". It matches the Rfam family "Bacterial small subunit ribosomal RNA", at positions 28 to 507 of the family's 1533-position model. The record is from RNAcentral.
GACGAACGCUGGCGGCGUGCCUAAUACAUGCAAGUAGAACGCUGAAGGGAGGAGCUUGCUCUUCUUGGAUGAGUUGCGAACGGGUGAGUAACGCGUAGGUAACCUGCCUUGUAGCGGGGGAUAACUAUUGGAAACGAUAGCUAAUACCGCAUAACAAUGGAUGACACAUGUCAUUUAUUUGAAAGGGGCAAUUGCUCCACUACAAGAUGGACCUGCGUUGUAUUAGCUAGUAGGUGAGGUAAUGGCUCACCUAGGCGACGAUACAUAGCCGACCUGAGAGGGUGAUCGGCCACACUGGGACGGAGACACGGCCCAGACUCCUACGGGAGGCAGCAGUAGGGAAUCUUCGGCAAUGGGGGCAACCCUGACCGAGCAACGCCGCGUGAGGGAAGAAGGUUGUCGGAUCGUAAAGCUCUGUUGUAAGUCAAGAACGGGUGUGAGAGUGGAAAGUUCACACUGUGACGGUAGCUUACCAGAAAGGGACGGCUAACUACGUG